Molecule: ribosomal RNA, 377 nt
Filed under: uncultured eukaryote
Lineage: Eukaryota
Description: partial 18S ribosomal RNA
Rfam family: Eukaryotic small subunit ribosomal RNA
Source: RNAcentral
UAAUAGCGUAUAUUUAAGUUGCUGCAGUUAAAAAGCUCGUAGUUGGAUUUCGGGUGGGAAUGGCCGGUCCGCCGUUUCGGUGUGCACUUGCUACGCCCACCUUGCUGCCGGGGACGUGCUCUUGAGUUCACGCUCGGGACACGGAGUCGGCGAGGUUACUUUGAGUAAAUUAGAGUGUUCAAAGCAGGCCUACGCUCUGAAUACAUUAGCAUGGAAUAACACGAUAGGACUCUGGCCUAUCUUGUUGGUCUGUAGGACCGGAGUAAUGAUUAAGAGGGACAGUCGGGGGCAUUCGUAUCUCAUUGUCAGAGGUGAAAUUCUUGGAUUUAUGAAAGACGAACUACUGCGAAAGCAUUUGCCAAGGAUGUUUUCAUUAA